UAUGUAGGGGGCAAGCGUUGUCCGGAAUUAUUGGGCGUAAAGAGCUCGUAGGCGGUCCGUUAAGUCGGAAGUGAAAUCUCAAGGCUCAACCUUGAAAUCGCUCUCGAUACUGGCGGACUUGAGGCAGGUAGGGGAAGGUGGAAUUCCUGGUGUAGCGGUGAAAUGCGCAGAUAUCAGGAGGAACACCGGUGGCGAAGGCGGCCUUCUGGGCCUGUUCUGACGCUGAGGCGCGAAAGCGUGGGGAGCGAACAGG
RNAcentral lists this unclassified non-coding RNA (253 nucleotides) under uncultured Euzebyales bacterium. Its description in RNAcentral is "contains 16S-23S intergenic spacer region". It matches the Rfam family "Bacterial small subunit ribosomal RNA", at positions 524 to 776 of the family's 1533-position model. Lineage: Bacteria; Bacillati; Actinomycetota; Nitriliruptoria; Euzebyales. The record is from RNAcentral.